Pelobates cultripes (western spadefoot toad) is the source of this 265-nucleotide non-coding RNA. The record is from the annotation of a GenBank genome assembly. Lineage: Eukaryota; Metazoa; Chordata; Amphibia; Anura; Pelobatidae.
CCCGCCCCUUUCUAGGGGACCACCCCCCAUGGAGACACCCACAGAUCCGCCAAUGGUGGGGAUGUAACGGACCUGCCAUCCCCCCAAUUGGGCUUCCUUGCCUGACCACUCACGAACCAAAGUUCCCCCACGGACUUGAUAUUCGCCCACCACUUUUCCUGGUCCCUCGACUUUGAAUGGAAUAGCGUAAACCCCCUCAACAAUCCCAGCCAUAAAACUAGCCCUUCAUGGGAGGCUUACUGCCUUAGCCACAGCAGCAACACAC